UAGCCCAUUGGCGAUGACUUGUGAAGCCACACGGCCGCCAUAUUGCCACUCUCAAGAAACACUUCUCGGACAAUCUUUUGCAUUCGUGGUGAACUUCUUUUAUUAAUUCGGAUUGGACACAAAUUUUGCCUUAAGAUGCCUGCAUGUGCAGCUAUUAACUGCACAAAUCGCCAGUUCAAAGGCUGUGGACGAACAUUUCACCUGUUUCCGUUUAGCCGUCGACAGUUGCUGGCAUCAUGGCUCGUAAACAUGAGACGAGAUCUGUGGACACCAACACGUAAAUCAGUCCUUUGUAGUGACCACUUCGAAGCAGCAUGUUUUGACAGAACUGGCCAAACAACACGUCUCAAAAAGGAUGCAGUUCCCACAGUUUUCCAGUUUCCAAGGCAUUUGCAGAAGGUGUUUUGAUGACAUCUUAAGGAAAAUGAUUCAUUUAAAAAUAUAUCAUGAGAGAAAGAAAAAAAGGUAAUAAAUUUACGACCCACUGUAGCAAUUAUGAUCCAUGUCCUGUGAAAUGUAUGAAAGUGGCAAAAUUUCCACCCCUUAGCUUUUGUUUUCUAGAUACCGAAACCCUGCAGAAAACCUCCAAAGGAAAGAAACUAUGCUCAACCAAGUUUGGAUGAGGAGGAGGAAGCAAACAACACAGCCCCCCAAGAUUCACCAAGUUCAUCUGCCAUCCUUGAUGAUCACUGCUAUGCUACACUGCAAAGUCCAAGAACAGUCAAAAGGAGACUUGAUGAAGCCUUCGUCCAAAUUGAUAGCCUGCAGAAGAAAGUGAAGGUGUUGCAGCAAAAGUCGCUUCGGUUAAAAAGACGAGUCACACAUCUGAAGGAAGUUGUCACAACUUUGGAGGAGGAGAAGCUCAUUUCUGCCAAUGGGGCUGAUGGGGCUUUAAUGCUUUUUAUUUUAAAAUAGAUGUUCUGCAAGCCUCUUCAUCUGCUUUGUACACUAUGUACGCUGUGCCAACGUAGUCUGCGACGUACGAGAUGUGAGUGGUAAGAUGGCCUCUCUGUGGCUUCAGCGGCUUGCACGGGCGGGUGCGACGUAUGAACUCACUGAUCUGUACGAAAAAAAUCUGGAUAGCCCAUUGGUCAAUGACUUGUGACGCCACGUGGCCGCCAUAUUGCCACGCACAAGAAACACUUCUCGGACAAUCUUUGGCAUUCGUGGUGAACUUUUUAUUAAUUCGGAUUGGACACAAAUUUUGCUAAGCCGUGACGGUAAGUAACGGAGGCAAAAACGAUGGUACGUGCAAAGAAAAAUAUUGUUGAGGCGGUAGGUGGUGUAUAAAGUUGUAUAAGCACUGGUGUGGUACAUGUCCUAAGCGUAUAUUUUCUAUAUUUUCAUAUGUCACUACUGUGUAUUUGUAUGGCAAAUUAAAUUUGAUACGUUGUUUUUUUUUUUUGCAAAAAUCUUUAUUACAGCAAAACCAACAAACAAGUUACGUAACAAAAAUAGGACACGCUGCUGUCAUCAGAUGACACGGAGAUAUAAAACACACACAAAAC
This is a long non-coding RNA of Dunckerocampus dactyliophorus (ringed pipefish), 1508 nucleotides long. RefSeq lists it as uncharacterized. The record is from RefSeq and is a predicted model, not a curated record. The transcript has 3 exons. NCBI's taxonomy places the organism in Eukaryota, Metazoa, Chordata, Actinopteri, Syngnathiformes, Syngnathidae.